UGGGGAAUAUUGGGCAAUGGGCGGAAGCCUGACCCAGCGACGCCGCGUGAGGGAAGAAGGCCUUUGGGUCGUAAACCUCUGUUGUAUGGGAAGAAGGAAGUGACGGUACCAUACGAGGAAGUCCCGGCUAACUACGUGCCAGCAGCCGCGGUAAUACGUAGGGGACGAGCGUUGUCCGGAAUUACUGGGCGUAAAGGGCGCGCAGGCGGAUAUUUAAGUCAGCUGUUAAAGUCAUGGGCUCAACUCAUGGAUGCGGUUGAAACUGGGUAUCUAGAGUGCUGGAGAGGUAGGCGGAAUUCCCGGUGUAGCGGUGAAAUGCGUAGAUAUCGGGAAGAACACCAGUGGCGAAGGCGGCUUACUGGCCAGCAACUGACGCUGAGGCGCGAAAGCCAGGGGAGCGAA
Molecule: ribosomal RNA, 402 nt
Filed under: uncultured bacterium
Lineage: Bacteria
Description: bacterial SSU rRNA
Rfam family: Bacterial small subunit ribosomal RNA
Source: RNAcentral